Molecule: ribosomal RNA, 497 nt
Filed under: uncultured bacterium
Lineage: Bacteria
Description: partial 16S ribosomal RNA
Rfam family: Bacterial small subunit ribosomal RNA
Source: RNAcentral
GAUGAACGCUGGCGGCGUGCCUAAUACAUGCAAGUCGAGCGAACAGACGAGGAGCUUGCUCCUCUGACGUUAGCGGCGGACGGGUGAGUAACACGUGUAUAACCUACCUAUAAGACUGGGAUAACUUCGGGAAACCGGAGCUAAUACCGGAUAAUAUAUUGAACCGCAUGGUUCAUUAGUGAAAGACGGUUUUGCUGUCACUUAUAGAUGUAUCCGCGCCGCAUUAGCUAGUUGGUAAGGUAACGGCUUACCAAGGCAACGAUGCGUAGCCGACCUGAGAGGGUGAUCGGACACACUGGAACUGAGACACGGUACAGACUCCUACGGGAGGCAGCAGUAGGGAAUCUUCCGCAAUGGGCGAAAGCUUGACGGAGCAACGCCGAGUGAGUGAUGAAGGUCUUAGGAUCGUAAAACUCUGUUAUUAGGGAAGAACAAAUGUGUAAGUAACUAUGCACGUAUUGACGGUACCUAAUCAGAAAGCAACGGCUAACUACGUG